RNAcentral lists this ribosomal RNA (371 nucleotides) under uncultured Bdellovibrio sp. Its description in RNAcentral is "bacterial SSU rRNA". It matches the Rfam family "Bacterial small subunit ribosomal RNA", at positions 527 to 896 of the family's 1533-position model. Lineage: Bacteria; Pseudomonadati; Bdellovibrionota; Bdellovibrionia; Bdellovibrionales; Pseudobdellovibrionaceae. The record is from RNAcentral.
GAAGGGUGCAAGCGUUGUUCGGAUUUAUUGGGCGUAAAGCGCGCGUAGGUGGACCUGCAAGUCAGAUGUGAAAUCUCGAGGCUCAACCUCGAAACUGCGUCUGAAACUACAGGUCUAGAAUCUUGGAGGGGGAAGGGGAAUUUCGUAUGUAGGGGUAAAAUCCGUAGAUAUGCGAAGGAACACCGGAGGCGAAGGCGCCUUCCUGGACAAGUAUUGACACUGAGGCGCGAAAGCGUGGGGAUCAAACAGGAUUAGAUACCCUGGUAGUCCACGCUGUAAACGAUGAACACUAGAUAUUGGAGGAUUUGACCCCUUCAGUGUCGUAGCUAACGCGUUAAGUGUUCCGCCUGGGAAGUACGGUCGCAAGACUA